Molecule: ribosomal RNA, 257 nt
Filed under: uncultured bacterium
Lineage: Bacteria
Description: partial 16S ribosomal RNA
Source: RNAcentral
CACAGGAGGGACUGCAUUGUUAAUAAUCAAUUGGUAGAGUAUUAAGGUGGAACAGAAGAGUUCUAGAGGUAAUAAGAAGAGGAGAAAAAUAUCAGAUGGAGAGAUGAAAUUCGUAGAUAUCUGGUGGACGGACAAAGGCGAGGGCGUCCCUCUAAUAGAAAAAUUGAUUAUGAUUAUGAUUAUGAUUAUGAUUAUGAUUAUGAUUAUGUUUAUAAUAAACCUGACACUGAGAUACUAGAGUGUAGGGAGCAAAAGGG